CCUACGGGUGGCAGCAGUGGGGAAUAUUGGACAAUGGGCGCAAGCCUGAUCCAGCAAUGCCGCGUGUGUGAAGAAGGCCUGCGGGUUGUAAAGCACUUUAAGCAGGAAAGAAGGUGUAAGGGUUAAUACCCCUUGCAAUUGACGUUACCUGCAGAAUAAGCACCGGCUAACUCCGUGCCAGCAGCCGCGGUAAUACGGAGGGUGCGAGCGUUAAUCGGAAUUACUGGGCGUAAAGCGCGCGUAGGCGGUUGACUAAGUCUGCUGUGAAAGCCCCGGGCUUAACCUGGGAACUGCAGUGGAUACUGGUUGGCUAGAGUAUGGUAGAGGGUAGUGGAAUUUCCGGUGUAGCAGUGAAAUGCGUAGAGAUCGGAAGGAACACCAGUGGCGAAGGCGGCUAUCUGGACCAAUACUGACGCUGAGGUGCGAAAGCGUGGGGAGCAAACAGGAUUAGAUACCCCAGUAGUC
This 465-nucleotide ribosomal RNA is filed under the name uncultured bacterium. RNAcentral's name for it is "bacterial SSU rRNA". It matches the Rfam family "Bacterial small subunit ribosomal RNA", at positions 338 to 795 of the family's 1533-position model. The record is from RNAcentral.